Molecule: ribosomal RNA, 477 nt
Filed under: uncultured bacterium
Lineage: Bacteria
Description: partial 16S ribosomal RNA
Rfam family: Bacterial small subunit ribosomal RNA
Source: RNAcentral
AUUGAACGCUGGCGGCAUGCCUUACACAUGCAAGUCGAACGGUAACAGGUUAAGCUGACGAGUGGCGAACGGGUGAGUAAUGUAUCGGAACGUGCCCAGUCGUGGGGGAUAACUGCUCGAAAGAGCAGCUAAUACCGCAUACGACCUGAGGGUGAAAGCGGGGGAUCGCAAGACCUCGCGCGAAUGGAGCGGCCGAUAUCAGAUUAGGUAGUUGGUGAGGUAAAGGCUCACCAAGCCGACGAUCUGUAGCUGGUCUGAGAGGACGACCAGCCACACUGGGACUGAGACACGGCCCAGACUCCUACGGGAGGCAGCAGUGGGGAAUUUUGGACAAUGGGCGCAAGCCUGAUCCAGCCAUGCCGCGUGCGGGAAGAAGGCCUUCGGGUUGUAAACCGCUUUUGUCAGGGAAGAAAAGGUUCUGGCUAAUACCUGGGACUCAUGACGGUACCUGAAGAAUAAGCACCGGCUAACUACGUG